GGACAUAAAGGUUCUUGAUUUAGUUGAUGUUAAAUGAAUCAAGGAAAAAGUAAACAACGAGUUUCAGGAUCUGAGAGGAUUACAAAAUAGAAGAGGAAGAACAAGGUUACAUCGGAGUAUCAGGAGAUGCUGCAAUUUUUGAAUCUUCAGUAGUGUAGCAGGAGAGAUCUUUUAUUGAAAAAAAAGUGAUAACAUUCGACUCAGCAUUCAGAAUGAGGUCAAUCAAGAACAGAAAAGUCAACCUAGUCCUCCAUAUAAAUGAUCAUAUACCCAGGGGUUGUGAACUAGUUUCAGGAAGCAAAACAGAAACGGAGUCCCGUAAUAACUCAAAUAUGCGAAUAUGUCAUGAGGAAUGCAAUAUAUGAGUAUCACUGGGUAUAUUCUCGUAUUUUUAAACCUAAUUGCAUGCGGGCUCACAGUUCGAGAAACAAAUGAUUUUAUGUUUAAAUGAAAGAUUUGAAAAAAGACCGAACACUGUUUUUUUGGCAAAAAAAGGUGCAGGUG
Molecule: long non-coding RNA, 504 nt
Organism: Colias croceus (clouded yellow)
Lineage: Eukaryota; Metazoa; Arthropoda; Insecta; Lepidoptera; Pieridae
Exons: 3
Source: RefSeq, a predicted model, not a curated record